RNAcentral lists this ribosomal RNA (413 nucleotides) under uncultured bacterium. Its description in RNAcentral is "bacterial SSU rRNA". It matches the Rfam family "Bacterial small subunit ribosomal RNA", at positions 49 to 512 of the family's 1533-position model. The record is from RNAcentral.
CUACCAUGCAGUCGAGCGCCCCGCAAGGGGAGCGGCAGACGGGUGAGUAACGCGUGGGAAUCUACCCAUCUCUACGGAAUAACCCAGGGAAACUUGGACUAAUACCGUAUACGUCCUUCGGGAGAAAGAUUUAUCGGAGAUGGAUGAGCCCGCGUUGGAUUAGCUAGUUGGUGGGGUAAAGGCCUACCAAGGCGACGAUCCAUAGCUGGUCUGAGAGGAUGAUCAGCCACACUGGGACUGAGACACGGCCCAGACUCCUACGGGAGGCAGCAGUGGGGAAUAUUGGACAAUGGGCGAAAGCCUGAUCCAGCCAUGCCGCGUGAGUGAUGAAGGCCCUAGGGUUGUAAAGCUCUUUCAACGGUGAAGAUAAUGACGGUAACCGUAGAAGAAGCCCCGGCUAACUUCGUGCCAGC